GAGGAACUCGUAAAUAUGGUCAUGGGAGCUUCAAAGGAUAGCAUCAAGUUACCACCAGGGUCGACCAUUGAAAUCACUAGGCUCCCAGGAUAUGUACUGGAAACUAAGGUGAAAGGCGAGGUAGUAAGCAAUGUGGAGAGUGAGCUGCUGUGCAGAGCCUACUUUCAUAUGUAUUUGGGUGAUGAUGUCUUCGACAAAGAGGCGAAGGA
This 209-nucleotide unclassified non-coding RNA is filed under the name Hevea brasiliensis (rubber tree). The record is from RNAcentral. Lineage: Eukaryota; Viridiplantae; Streptophyta; Magnoliopsida; Malpighiales; Euphorbiaceae.